AUGCACGCUGGCGGCGUGCCUAAUACCUGCCAGUCGAGCGAACGGACGAGAAGCUUGCUUUUCUGAUGUUAGCGGCGGACGGGUGAGUAACACGUGGAUAACCUACCUAUAAGACUGGGAUAACUUCGGGAAACCGGAGCUAAUACCGGAUAAUAUUUUGAACCGCAUGGUUCAUAAGUGAAAGACGGUCUUGCUGUCACUUAUAGAUGGAUCCGCGCUGCAUUAGCUAGUUGGUAAGGUAACGGCUUACCAAGGCAACGAUGCAUAGCCGACCUGAGAGGGUGAUCGGCCACACUGGAACUGAGACACGGUCCAGACUCCUACGGGAGGCAGCAGUAGGGAAUCUUCCGCAAUGGGCGAAAGCCUGACGGAGCAACGCCGCGUGAGUGAUGAAGGUCUUCGGAUCGUAAAACUCUGUUAUUAGGGAAGAACAUAUGUGUAAGUAACUGUGCACAUCUUGACGGUACCUAAUCAGAAAGCCACGGCUAACUACGUG
RNAcentral lists this ribosomal RNA (496 nucleotides) under uncultured bacterium. RNAcentral describes it as "partial 16S ribosomal RNA". It matches the Rfam family "Bacterial small subunit ribosomal RNA", at positions 29 to 507 of the family's 1533-position model. The record is from RNAcentral.